CCUACGGGAGGCUGCAGUGAGGAAUAUUGGGCAAUGGGCGUAAGCCUGAACCAGCCAAGUCGCAUGAGGGAUGAAGGUUCUAUGGAUCGUAAACCUCUUUUAUAAGGGAAUAACGUGCGGGUCGUUUCCCGUUUUGUAUGUACCUUAUGAAUAAGGAUCGGCUAACUCCGUGCCAGCAGCCGCGGUAAUACGGAGGAUCCGAGCGUUAUCCGGAUUUAUUGGGUUUAAAGGGUGCGUAGGCGGCCUUUUAAGUCAGCGGGGAAAGUCUGUGGCUCAACCAUUGAAUUGCGGUUGAAACUGGGAGGCUUGAGUGUGUGUGAGGCAGGCGGAAUGCGUGGUGUAGCGGUGAAAUGCUUAGAUAUCACGCAGAACCCCAGUUGCGAAGGCAGCCUGCCAAGCCAUGACUGACGCUGAUGCGCGAAAGCGUGGGGAUCAAACAGGAUUAGAUACCCUUGUAGUC
RNAcentral lists this ribosomal RNA (460 nucleotides) under uncultured bacterium. RNAcentral describes it as "partial 16S ribosomal RNA". It matches the Rfam family "Bacterial small subunit ribosomal RNA", at positions 338 to 795 of the family's 1533-position model. The record is from RNAcentral.